GUGCAGUCGGGGCAGAUGGCCUUGGAGGUUGCCGCAAGGGCUGCUCUGGGGGUGGUCCCCCAGGUCCAGUUGUGAACAUCCAGCUGUGGGGGCUGGGGGCUGGCCUGGUGCCCGAGGUGCCCAAGGCCCUGAGGAGGGCAGCUGGGAAGGAGGCUGGACUCUGUACUGUCUUUCCAGCUGGGCUCCGUGAAGCUCAGUUGCACACCAGGAGGCCUCGGCCCCACCCCAACCAUUCUCUCCCCGGCAUCACAAUGCGUGACCCGCCCUGGGCAGCUCUGGGGUCAGGCUGGGCCCUUUAGUCACGCAUGAGUGUCCUGGCCCUGGAUCCUCCACUGGGGCUGGCUCCUGGCUGCUGCCCUCUGGAGCCCCCACUCCUGCUGAAUUUGCCCCUGGACCUGGCCUGCCCCCACCCCACCUUGUUUGUGCCAUAAGGGUUGUGUCUUUGGGGGGAGGAGGGAUGGCUGAAAUUCACAUCCUGGGCUGUCCAUCUCCCAGAAAUCCACUUCCUGCCCACCACCGCCACCACUGGAGCUAUGUGCCCAGUGGCCGCAUGCCACCUUCCUGUCCCCAGCAGCAAGGUGCUGGGUGUCCUACUCUGGGGGGCCUUUGACUGAGGGUCACUGUUGCCUGUUUCUGGGCAGUGGUCUUGUCUCCUGACAUGGGGUUUUUAGCAUUUCUGAGGUUUGGAGGUUAAGCGGGUUUUGUGCGAUUUUUAGCACAUUCAUAUCUUUUCUACAUUGAAUGUUUGGAUCUUUUCUUUGUUGUGUGCAUGUGUAUCUGUGUGCGUAUGUGUGUGUAUGUGUCUAAGUGUUUGCAGGUGGUGGCGGUACAUGGGGACUCAGGCCUGGGGCUCCCCUUUCCAGGGCCAGCCAUGGCGUGCUGGGCGGCCCCAAGGCGUGGCCCUCAGCUGAGAGCAGGGAGCCCUUCCCUGGCCCCUCGUGCCCUCCCAGACCAGCAGUGAGCGGGGGAUGACUUGAAGUGGGUGCUCUGUGGUGACAGGCCUCGCUGGCACAGUCUAUUUCUGGACACGUUCUCACAGUCUCCCAUUGGGGACCGUUUUGUUCUUCCCAGGGCAGCAUGAGCUUCUCAAGUUGCCCACAGACUGGGGCUCGGCCCACAGGAGCCAGAAUGCUGCAGGCAGCCCCACGCGGGCAGGCUGCGUGCCGAGCAGGCCUGCACUCCCCCUGCCAAGGACUGGGACUGGAGAGUGGCUGCACUGGCUGCUGAAGACAAAGCAGAACGCGUGUCCUGCCUCCACUGUGUUCUGGGCACUGAGCAGCUGUCACAGGCCUUGUUGGUGCUAGGUGAGGGUCCUGAGCACUCCUGCUUUGGAGUGGGCUCCCCCAUGGAGCCCCAGAGGAUCCUGCCCCCAACAGCUCAGGGUCCCUCCCAACCCCCGUGUCUCUGGCCCAGGCCUCAGACCCGUGUGUACAGGGCAGGGCUCCCAGGCCCGGAGCAGGCUGUGGGGGCCACAGAUGGGGGCCUGCUUCUGGACAGGCCAGGGCUCCGGGGUUGCUCAGCCCACGUGCAGCACUGUUUCAGGCCUUGCCUGCUGCCCGCAGUGUCCGCAGGAGCUAGUGCCCCAGGGGCUGAGCUCCACUGGGGGUGGGGGUGGGGGAGCAAGGGGAGAGGUGGGGUCGGCCUUCUGCCCAGGCCAACCGUCAUGAGAUCUGGUUGUGCUCCGUGGUCAGACGAAUCCCAACCAGCCCUGGCUGAGACUCUUGUGCUCCUGUGAGAGCUGCUGACCUGCUUGGUGGGGGUGGGUGUCUAUAGGCCAUUGUCUCAAGGCCUGUUUAUGUUUUCCUUUCACUAAGGGUUUUUAGUUUGGGUUUAUUUUGGUUGGGUUGGCACUAAUUCUUAAGAUGCUGUGAGAACCGUUUCAUCCGAAUGCCAAAUAAAUUUGUGUUCUGG
Long non-coding RNA from Phocoena sinus (vaquita), 1911 nucleotides. NCBI's taxonomy places the organism in Eukaryota, Metazoa, Chordata, Mammalia, Artiodactyla, Phocoenidae. The record is from Ensembl.